GACGAACGCUGGCGGCAUGCCUAAUACAUGCAAGUCGAGCGAACAGAUGAAGUGCUUGCACUUCUGACGUUAGCGGCGAAUGGGUGAGUAACACGUAAGGAAUCUACCUAUAAGCGGGGGAUAACAUUCGGAAACGGGUGCUAAUACUGCAUAAUAUCUUCUUCCGCAUGGAAGAAGAUUGAAAGACGGCUCUGCUGUCACUUAUAGAUGGCCUUGCGGUGCAUUAGUUAGUUGGUGGGGUAACGGCCUACCAAGACGAUGAUGCAUAGCCGACCUGAGAGGGUGAUCGGCCACAUUGGGACUGAGACACGGCCCAAACUCCUACGGGAGGCAGCAGUAGGGAAUCUUCCGCAAUGGGCGAAAGCCUGACGCAGCGACGCCGCGUGAGGGAAGAAGGCCUUCGGGUUGUAAACCUCUUUCAGGAGGGACGAAGCCACUCGGGUUAAUAGCCCAGAGGGUGACGGUACCUCCAGAAGAAGCCCCGGCUAACUACGUGCCAGCCGCCGCCGUAA
This 512-nucleotide ribosomal RNA is filed under the name uncultured bacterium. RNAcentral describes it as "partial 16S ribosomal RNA". It matches the Rfam family "Bacterial small subunit ribosomal RNA", at positions 28 to 523 of the family's 1533-position model. The record is from RNAcentral.